Molecule: unclassified non-coding RNA, 315 nt
Filed under: Hevea brasiliensis (rubber tree)
Lineage: Eukaryota; Viridiplantae; Streptophyta; Magnoliopsida; Malpighiales; Euphorbiaceae
Source: RNAcentral
AUAUGACAGAGACAAGUAUUAGAUAAGUAAUAUGAAUGUUGAAGAGAAGCUUAUGGCAACUAGUUGAUUCUUAAUGUUACUUGUAGGACUGGGGCCAUCUUUCUCUUUAUUGAGGAUAUUGUUUCGAAUCUGUGGACUGGAAGUAAUUCCCGGUGAGAGAAAUUGUGCCCGACAUUCUUGUGCAUCAUCACUUAGGAUUCAUUGUUUGUUAUUUGUACUUGUGGCUUUGUUCACUCCACAUUCCCAUCCCUGUAUGCUGUAGCCCCCAAUCUGCCUCCCUAGGAGAGGGGGAGGAAACAAAUUGUGGAAGGUUGG